UACAGAGGGUGCGAGCGUUAAUCGGAAUUACUGGGCGUAAAGGGCGCGUAGGCGGUUGAAUAAGUUGGAUGUGAAAUCCCUGGGCUUAACCUAGGAACUGCAUUCAAUACUGUUUAACUAGAGUGUUGUAGAGGGUAGUGGAAUUUCCGGUGUAGCGGUGAAAUGCGUAGAUAUCGGAAGGAACACCAGUGGCGAAGGCGGCUACCUGGACAGACACUGACGCUGAGGCGCGAGAGCGUGGGUAGCAAACAGG
RNAcentral lists this ribosomal RNA (253 nucleotides) under uncultured bacterium. RNAcentral describes it as "partial 16S ribosomal RNA". It matches the Rfam family "Bacterial small subunit ribosomal RNA", at positions 524 to 776 of the family's 1533-position model. The record is from RNAcentral.